UACAGAGGGUGCGAGCGUUAAUCGGAUUUACUGGGCGUAAAGCGCGCGUAGGUGGUUAAUUAAGUCAAAUGUGAAAUCCCCGAGCUUAACUUGGGAAUUGCAUUCGAUACUGGUUAGCUAGAGUAUGGGAGAGGAUGGUAGAAUUCCAGGUGUAGCGGUGAAAUGCGUAGAGAUCUGGAGGAAUACCGAUGGCGAAGGCAGCCAUCUGGCCUAAUACUGACACUGAGGUGCGAAAGCAUGGGGAGCAAACAGG
RNAcentral lists this ribosomal RNA (253 nucleotides) under uncultured bacterium. RNAcentral's name for it is "partial 16S ribosomal RNA". It matches the Rfam family "Bacterial small subunit ribosomal RNA", at positions 524 to 776 of the family's 1533-position model. RNAcentral also lists the same sequence under 1 other name. The record is from RNAcentral.